AUACGUAGGUGGCAAGCGUUGUCCGGAUUUAUUGGGCGUAAAGCGAGCGCAGGCGGUUUCUUAAGUCUGAUGUGAAAGCCCCCGGCUCAACCGGGGAGGGUCAUUGGAAACUGGGAGACUUGAGUGCAGAAGAGGAGAGUGGAAUUCCAUGUGUAGCGGUGAAAUGCGUAGAUAUAUGGAGGAACACCAGUGGCGAAGGCGACUCUCUGGUCUGUAACUGACGCUGAGACUCGAAAGCGUGGGGAGCAAACAGGAUUAGAUACCCUGGUAGUCCACGCCGUAAACGAUGAGUGCUAAGUGUUGGAGGGUUUCCGCCCUUCAGUGCUGCAGCUAACGCAUUAAGCACUCCGCCUGGGGAGUACGACCGCAAGGUUGAAACUCAAAGGAAUUGACGGGG
This 397-nucleotide ribosomal RNA is filed under the name uncultured bacterium. RNAcentral's name for it is "partial 16S ribosomal RNA". It matches the Rfam family "Bacterial small subunit ribosomal RNA", at positions 523 to 918 of the family's 1533-position model. The record is from RNAcentral.